Molecule: ribosomal RNA, 251 nt
Filed under: uncultured prokaryote
Description: partial 16S rRNA
Rfam family: Bacterial small subunit ribosomal RNA
Source: RNAcentral
ACAGAGGUGGCGAGCGUUACUCGGAUUUAUUGGGUGUAAAGGGCAAGUAGGCGUCUUAACAAGUUGGGGGUGAAAUCCUGCAGCUCAACUGCAGAACUGCUCUCAAAACUGUUGAGAUUGAGACUGGGAGAGGAAAGCGGAAUUCUCGGUGUAAGGGUGAAAUCUGUAGAUAUCGGGAGGAACACCAGUGGCGAAGGCGGCUAUCUGGUCCAGACCUGACGCUGAAUUGCGAAAGCUAGGGGAGCAAACAG